This 405-nucleotide ribosomal RNA is filed under the name uncultured bacterium. RNAcentral's name for it is "bacterial SSU rRNA". It matches the Rfam family "Bacterial small subunit ribosomal RNA", at positions 355 to 776 of the family's 1533-position model. The record is from RNAcentral.
UGAGGAAUACUGCACAAUGGGCGCAAGCCUGAUGCAGCGACGCCGCGUGGGUGAAGAAGGUUUUCGGAUCGUAAAACCCUUUUCUGUGUGACGAGCAAGGACGGUAGCACAGGAAUAAGUCUCGGCUAACUACGUGCCAGCAGCCGCGGUAAAACGUAGGAGACAAACGUUAUCCGGAGUUACUGGGCGUAAAGGGCGUGUAGGUGGUAGUGUAAGUCUGGCGUGAAAUUUUUCGGCUUAACCGGGAAAGGUCGUCGGAUACUGCACAACUAGAGGACGGUAGAGGCGUGUGGAAUUCCGGGUGUAGUGGUGAAAUGCGUAGAGAUCCGGAGGAACACCAGUGGCGAAGGCGACACGCUGGGCCGUACCUGACACUGAUGCGCGACAGCAUGGGGAGCAAACAGG